Triticum dicoccoides is the source of this 1514-nucleotide long non-coding RNA. RefSeq lists it as uncharacterized. Lineage: Eukaryota; Viridiplantae; Streptophyta; Magnoliopsida; Poales; Poaceae. The transcript is spliced from 6 exons. The record is from RefSeq and is a predicted model, not a curated record.
UCACCACCCCACCAAAUGCCACAGUGGCUCCUCCACAGCCGCCCGCAACCCUUUCCCCUUUUCCCCAGCUCCUCCUCCAUCCUCUUGUGCCCCCCUCCCACAUCUCAUCCACCCCCUCAUCUCUGACCGGGUCCGUGACAUGCGGGACGGAGGCGAGCUUCUCCAGCGUCGGCGACCUGCAGGCGAAGGGCGAGGGCGUCGGCGCUUGAUUUGAGGCAGCAUCAUGGAUCGGUCCCUGCUAAGCCACGAGAUUGCUGGACUGCCACCAUCCCUCCUGCACUGUGCGUUGCCUCCUGCGAGUGCCACCUUGCCCCACUAGCUUCCAGCGCCAUGGAUCCUCCAGAGAUGGAGGGCAACAAGUGAGAGGGAGUAGGAGAACAGGUGAAUCGAGGGAGUGAAAGAAGGAGCUCACACGGGAAGGGGAAGAGGGAGUCUGGCGGCGUAUCCUCAUCUCAUCCCUGGCUGUAGAUCUUUUGACGCCAUGGCACCAGUGGUAGCUCCUCGAUGGAGCGCCUCCUCCCAUGACGGCACGACCAGCCGCUCUGGCUCGACGCCACGAUACACAACGAGAGGCCCUCUUCAUCUCGGCAGAGGAGAAGAACGGCCAGGAGCUGGCGGCCUGCUACCCUAUGCCAAUGGAUGCGCCUCCCAGAUGGCUAGCAAUGCCAGAUCGAAAGGGCUCUAUGGCACCAAUCCUAUUAUUGAAGCCACUGGAUAGUUGCCGUUAGCUGUAAUGUGAUUAGCUACCAAUCCUAUUAUUGAAGCUAUUAUGGUAUAUGUUGCUGCUACAUAAAUAUACUUUUAUGUGAUCAUGAAAUUGCAUUCAGUUUUAGUAUUCUCUGGUGCUGGAAGAGCUAACAUGUAUCAAGCUAGGAGUACAAUUCCUUUUUGUAAAUCUGGCUAAUGCUGACAAUGGACAUGCUUUGAUGUUUUUCUUUUCUCAUACCGUUAGGCAGAUUGAGAAGCUGAUCCGAGCGAAGCAAUGAUGUUUGGUGUUCUUCUGCUGGAGCUGAUCACCAGGAGAACAAUCUAUGAUGCUUCGAGGCCUAAACCAGAGCAGAGCUUGCUAACAUGGAAAACUACUACGGAUGCUGAUCCAUCACAAUAUUGACCAUUAACUUUGUGCUCAUCUCCGAGGUUAUUUUGCGUAUAGCCAUUUGCUUCUCUGGCAUUUCCUUGAAGCUGCCAUUGCAAGAGGAAACAGAAGGAUAUCUUCGUGAUCAGCACAUUGGUGUCUAAGGCUACUUGUUGUGUCACUACGCCCGGCAAGUGCGUGAAUAACAUGGAUAGAUCAAUACAGAUAGGUUAAUUACCGACUAUCAUAGCUAAAAGUUCUAAAAAAUCAUCUGAAGUGAUGUUCUUUUGGUUUUCCGUUCAAAUAUCAUUGAUCCUUGUGCCUGCCGAAUCUCUAAUUUAACACAUGUUGGCAGUCUGACAAAUAGUAAGACACUUCUGGUGGUGCUAAUUAACUCGUCUGAGCCUGAAUGAUAAAGAAAUAUUUUUUUAUCAAUUUA